Molecule: ribosomal RNA, 430 nt
Filed under: Acidobacteriota bacterium
Lineage: Bacteria; Pseudomonadati; Acidobacteriota
Description: Acidobacteria bacterium partial 16S ribosomal RNA
Rfam family: Bacterial small subunit ribosomal RNA
Source: RNAcentral
UGGGGAAUAUUGGACAAUGGGCGGAAGCCUGAUCCAGCCAUGCCGCGUGUGUGAAGAAGGCCUUCUGGUUGUAAAGCACUUUAAGCGAGGAGGAGGCUACUUGGAUUAAUACUCUAGGAUAGUGGACGUUACUCGCAGAAUAAGCACCGGCUAACUCUGUGCCAGCAGCCGCGGUAAUACAGAGGGUGCGAGCGUUAAUCGGAUUUACUGGGCGUAAAGCGUGCGUAGGCGGCUUCUUAAGUCGGAUGUGAAAUCCCUGAGCUUAACUUAGGAAUUGCAUUCGAUACUGGGAAGCUAGAGUAUGGGAGAGGAUGGUAGAAUUCCAGGUGUAGCGGUGAAAUGCGUAGAGAUCUGGAGGAAUACCGAUGGCGAAGGCAGCCAUCUGGCCUAAUACUGACGCUGAGGUACGAAAGCAUGGGGAGCAAACAGG